CCUACGGGGGGCUGCAGUGGGGAAUAUUGGACAAUGGGGGGAACCCUGAUCCAGCCAUGCCGCGUGUGUGAAGAAGGCCCUCGGGUUGUAAAGCACUUUCAGUGAGGAAGAACGCCUGGUGGUUAAUACCCAUCAGGAAAGACAUCACUCACAGAAGAAGCACCGGCUAACUCCGUGCCAGCAGCCGCGGUAAUACGGAGGGUGCGAGCGUUAAUCGGAAUUACUGGGCGUAAAGCGCGCGUAGGUGGCUUGAUAAGCCGGUUGUGAAAGCCCCGGGCUCAACCUGGGAACGGCAUCCGGAACUUUCAAGCUAGAGUGCAGGAGAGGAAGGUAGAAUUCCCGGUGUAGCGGUGAAAUGCGUAGAGAUCGGGAGGAAUACCAGUGGCGAAGGCGGCCUUCUGGACUGACACUGACACUGAGGUGCGAAAGCGUGGGUAGCAAACAGGAUUAGAUACCCUAGUAGUC
This 465-nucleotide ribosomal RNA is filed under the name Vreelandella stevensii. Its description in RNAcentral is "partial 16S ribosomal RNA". It matches the Rfam family "Bacterial small subunit ribosomal RNA", at positions 338 to 795 of the family's 1533-position model. Lineage: Bacteria; Pseudomonadati; Pseudomonadota; Gammaproteobacteria; Oceanospirillales; Halomonadaceae. The record is from RNAcentral.